This 1133-nucleotide long non-coding RNA is filed under the name Canis lupus familiaris (dog). RNAcentral's name for it is "lncRNA (ENSCAFG00000057116.1)". Lineage: Eukaryota; Metazoa; Chordata; Mammalia; Carnivora; Canidae. The record is from RNAcentral.
CGGCGGGCGCGCGCAUCCCGGGCCCGGCCUGGCGGCGGAGUCGUGCUGCGGGGCGAGGCUGCGGGCGGCGGGGCUGGAGGAGAGGUCCGCGCCGCGCGCCGCUGCUGUCCUCGGAUCCCCGACGGCCGGGCGCCCGGAGACCCGGGAUGCUGGUCCUCUCCUCCUCCCAGGUAAACACAAGGAGCCCCUGUCCCCUUCGUGGUAUGUUACUGCUGGGUCUGCGGGCCCGUCGUCAGGCCAACCGGGGUGCGAGCCCGACCGGGGAGCUCCCGUGUCACAGGUUCUCAUCCUCACACCGUCAGGACACCAGUGGCGGGUGGUGACUGUUCCCACCAGUGUGCAAACCCCCCACAUUCGGCUCCUCUGUGGUGUGACCGCCCCUGUCCCAGUGAUGCCCGGGUGGGGUUUCUUUGGGGGGUCCCAAAAGAACUUAGGCGCCUCUGCAAACCCCUCUGCCUAGCUACUACUCUGGCUACGCAGUGGAGACAACAGGGUCUGACUCACCCUCUCCGUCUUCCGUGGGAGUCACAAGACGCCUGAGAGUCCUCUGGAGGUGAGCCACUUCUAGAAAGGACGGAAUCUCCACCACCUCUGGCCCGUGACUCCAUCCACCCUCUCCUCCAACAUGACCUCUGUGUGGCUCUGCCCAAGGAGCCCCCAGACCCCCACUGGCCAAUGACGUAGAUACAUCAGAAAUAUCUUGGUUUAACAUUUGAGGUCAGAGGCAGGCACUUUCUAGGGCAGAAAUCAAAGAAGCACAAGGGCAGCUCCCCAACCAUGGCACCCACCUCACUGGGGGUUCCGGGCCCUUGCCACUACAGAAGCAGAUAGAAUGAUCCAGCGUUGUCAACGUAGCAUCAGGUCGAAGUGCAGCCAUAGGCCCUGGUUCCUCAAUAGCUGGCGGCUGGAGCCACACAUGGUUUGGGGACAAUCUGGAGACUAUGCUUAAAGUCUAGUUAACAUUACUGACCCAUCUUCACAGCCCCCAUGGGGCCACGAGCCCUUGAGCACUUCCUUUCAAAAAUGGGAAUUUGUUGUCAGGACAAGCAUCCAGGGUCUAGACCAGAGCUUGUGCAGAGCUGGGGUUUGUUCCCUUUGCUUAUUUUAUUUUAUUUUAUUUUAUUUUAUUUUAU